UAGGGAAUCUUCGGCAAUGGGGGCAACCCUGACCGAGCAACGCCGCGUGAGUGAAGAAGGUUUUCGGGUCGUAAAGCUCUGUUGUAAGAGAAGAACGUGUGUGAGAGUGGAAAGUUCACACAGUGACGGUAACUUACCAGAAAGGGACGGCUAACUACGUGCCAGCAGCCGCGGUAAUACGUAGGUCCCGAGCGUUGUCCGGAUUUAUUGGGCGUAAAGCGAGCGCAGGCGGUUUAAUAAGUCUGAAGUUAAAGGCAGUGGCUUAACAAUUGUUCGCUUUGGAAACUGUUAAACUGGAGUGCAGCAGGGGAGAGUGGAAUUCCAUGUGUAGCGGUGAAAUGCGUAGAUAUAUGGAGGAACACCGGUGGCGAAAGCGGCUCUCUGGUCUGUAACUGACGCUGAGGCUCGAAAGCGUGGGGAGCAAACAGG
This 429-nucleotide ribosomal RNA is filed under the name bacterium. RNAcentral's name for it is "partial 16S ribosomal RNA". It matches the Rfam family "Bacterial small subunit ribosomal RNA", at positions 355 to 776 of the family's 1533-position model. The record is from RNAcentral.